Quercus robur (English oak) is the source of this 649-nucleotide long non-coding RNA. RefSeq lists it as uncharacterized. The transcript has 3 exons. The record is from RefSeq and is a predicted model, not a curated record. Lineage: Eukaryota; Viridiplantae; Streptophyta; Magnoliopsida; Fagales; Fagaceae.
AUUUUUGUAUAAAAGUGUGAGUGUGAAUGUAAGAAAUUAUUUUUGUAGAAAGGUGUGAGUGUGAAUGCAAGAAAAUUGGAAAAGUGGGUGGUGAGAUUUUUCCUAAGCUCCACACGUAUUCCACCCAAAGUCCCCAUCUUUUAUCCCCUUUUUGCUGCCCAAAAAAUCUUCCCCUUAUCUCAUUUUCUUGGCUGCACCAGACAGAAAGUCCAGCCCUCUUUCCCUACUCUUUUCCUUGUUCUUUGUUUCUCUCUUCUCCCCUUCUUACAUGGCAGCCCUCCCUCUCUCACCAAAACAAAAUAUUCCUCUCUAAAGAAGAAAUUAAAGGGUUAACACUAAAAUUUCAACUUCAAAUUGUUGGGGGUGUUACCAGUAUCCAAGUCUAAGCUCCUUCAACUGUAGGCCCUUGGUUCCUCUGCUUUCAGUUAGCAGGUUUUAUUUUGGAGCAGAGGGAGCCUUAGUCGAGUUUGGAAAGAGCUGGUUUUAGUUUGAUAUGCAUAGAUCCUAAAUUAGCAAUUUGAUGUUUAGCUUUGUAGUAUUGUGUAUUUUAGGAUCUAAAGAAAGUUGUGUACCUUAAAGUAUUAAGAGACGUAUUAUGUGAAAGUGUGGAAAUUAAAUGAUUGGUGAAUUAUAUUAUAUUUUGAGUACA